RNAcentral lists this long non-coding RNA (1345 nucleotides) under Canis lupus familiaris (dog). RNAcentral's name for it is "lncRNA (ENSCAFG00845017762.1)". Lineage: Eukaryota; Metazoa; Chordata; Mammalia; Carnivora; Canidae. The record is from RNAcentral.
UUUUUUUUUUUUUUUUUAACAUUUCAUCAAAACCCCUAUUCCUACCUUACAAAGCAAAGCUUUACCAUUUGUUAACCACUUUUUUUCCACAAGAUAUAAACAACAGAACUGCAACAACUUGAAUGUUUCAUGCCUCUAUAUACAAAAAUCCUACAGUACCUACAUUAUUUGUGCUAAAUUGAUUAUGUUAACUCUAAACUCCACGGCAUAGAGUAUUAAAAAUUAGCAACAAGAUUAUAGUUUCUAAAAAAGAAAAUCUUGAGUGGAAUAGUGGUCCUGUUUUUCUCCCUCGCUAGGUUUGUAUCCCUCAUAAUUAAAUAAAAAUAUAGAUCUUAGUUGAGUCAUAGAAGAGAUAUUACAAGUAUUUUGUGAGAAGGGAGGGGUUAAAUAGAUGGGUUAAGAAGGGCACGAGCUGUAAUGAGCACCAGCUGGGUGAUGUAUAGAAGUGUUGAAUCACUAUAGUGUACACCUACAUCUAAUAUUAAGCUAUAUGUUAUGCUAACUGGAAUUUAAAUAAAAACUUUAAAAAAAGAGUCCCCCCUCCCUCAAAAAGAAUAUUUUGUAGUAUACUAAAGGUAAACUUACAUAUUUUAACUGAGGUACUUUAUGGUAAAUGGUGUCUAAUAUACUGUGGUAUUUACUUUAUGGUAAAUGGUGUCUAAUAUACUGUUAAUCUUUAGAUAAGUAGAAAAGGUAAAAACUGUUCCAGACGACCAGGAGCUGCCCUUGAUUUCACUCUUAGGCCAAGUCUAUUCUUGUUGAUGAGAAAAAUGUCACACACCUCCUUCAUCAAAAGUAAAUGAUAACAUGGGGUGCCUGGGUUGCUUGGUCAGACUCUUGAUUUCAGUUCAGGGUAUGAUCUCAGGGUCAUGGGACUGAGCCCUGUUUUGUACUCUGGGCUCAGCUGGGAGUCUACCUGAGAUUCUCUUCCUGUCUGCCCCUCUUCCAUUCAUGUGCACAUGCAUGUCCUCUCUCUAGUAACAAACUAUAGAAAUGGUCCUUGAAAGUAUAGUCCUCCUCUCUCUAAAGUAAGUCAGUCCUUGGGGUGCCUGGGUAGCUCAGGUGGUUGAGGAUCUGACUCUUGAUUUUGGCUCAAGUCAUAAUCUCAUAAUCUCAGGGUCAUGAGAUAGUGCCCUAUGUCAGACUCUGUGCUGGGCAUGGAGCCUGCUUGGGAUUCUCUCCCUUUCCCUCUCCCCGUCCCCUGGCUCACAUGGACAUACAUACUCACAUUCUCUCUCUCUCUCUCUCUCUGUCUCAAAUAAAUAAAAUCUUUAAAAAUAAAUAAAUCUUUUAAAAAAAGAGUAAAUUUUAAUUGUCUUGGUCCAUGAAGGACCAAGACAUUUUU